GUGAAAAGCACUUCGAACAGAAGAGUGAAAUAGUCCCUGAACCCAUACGCCUACAAGCAGUCGGAGCCGCUUCGUGCGGUGACGGCGUGCCUUUUGCAUAAUGAGCCUACGAGUUACUCAUCACCAGCGAGGUUAAGUACUUCAGGUACGUAAGCCGAAGCGAAAGCGAGUCUGAAUAGGGCGUCAAGUUGGUGGUGGUAGACGCGAAACCUUAGUGAUCUACCCAUGGGCAGGGUGAAGGUUUGGUAACACAAACUGGAGGCCCGAACCGGUAAACGUUGAAAAGUUUUCGGAUGACCUGUGGGUAGGGGUGAAAGGCCAAUCAAACUGGGAAAUAGCUCGUACUCUCCGAAAUGCAUUUAGGUGCAGCCUCUGUUGUUUUGUUCUAGAGGUAGAGCUACUGAUUGGAUGCGAGGGCUUCACCGCCUAUCAAAUCCGGCCAAACUCCGAAUGCUAGAACAUGAAGACAGGGAGUGAGCCAGCGGGUGCUAAGGUCCGUUGACGAAAGAGGGAGAACUCAGACCAUCAGCUAAGGUCCCCAAUUAUAUGCUAAGUUGGAAUUAAAACGGGGUGGGACUGCUUAGACAGCUAGGAUGUUGGCUUGGAAGCAGCCAUUCAUUUAAAGAGUGCGUAACAGCUCACUAGUCGAGCGGUCCUGCAUGGAUAAUACGCGGGCAUAAGCAUAUAACCGAAGCUAUGGGAUUGUAGAUGAUACAAUCGGUAGGAGAGCAUUCCAUUCAGCGUAGAAGCAGUAUCGUGAGGUAUUGUGGAGCGGAUGGAAAAGCAAAUGUAGGCAUAAGUAACGAUAAUGCGGGUGAGAACCCCGCACGCCGAAAGAUCAAGGAUUCCCCGGCAAUGUCAAUCAUCCGGGGGUAAGUCGGAUCCUAAGGGUAAGCCGAGUGGCGAUCCCGAUGGCAAACAGGUUAAUAUUCCUGUACUGAUCAUAACUGCGAUGCAGCGACGCAGAGGUGACACUGCUGCGUACUGACGGAAUAGUACGUUGAAACCCGUAUUCUUUGAUACCGGUAGUGAAGCACGCCGGUAGAGAUGAAAGGUGAUAGUACCGCAAUGCUUCGGUUGCGCGGAUAACGCAGGUAAGCUGACUGCCAAGAAAACCUGCUAAGCUUCAGGUAAUGAUCAUCCGUACUGUAAACGGACACACGUGAUCAGGUAGAAAAUACUAAGGCGCUGAGAGAUUCAUGGUUAAGGAACUAGGCAAAAUGGUCCUGUAACUUCGGGAUAAAGGACGCUCUUGUGAAAGAGCCGCAGAUAAUAGGCCCAGGCGACUGUUUACCAAAAACACAUGGCUAUGCUAAUUCGCAAGAAGAUGUAUAUGGCCUGACACCUGCCCGGUGCCGGAAGGUUAAGAGGAGAGCUCAGAGGUAACUCGAAGGUUUGAAUUGAAGCCCCGGUAAACGGCGGCCGUAACUAUAACGGUCCUAAGGUAGCGAAAUUCCUUGUCGGGUAAGUUCCGACCUGCACGAAUGGUGUAACGAUCUGGGUACUGUCUCAACCAUGAGCUCGGUGAAAUUGUAGUUCCGGUGAAGAUGCCGGAUACCCGCAACGGGACGGAAAGACCCCGUGAACCUUUACUGCAGCUUUGCAUUGAUUUUGGGUAACAGAUGUGUAGGAUAGGUCGGAGGCUUUGAUGCUGCGUCGUCAGGCGUAGAGUAGCCGUCGUUGAAAUACGACCCUUUUGUUAUCUGAGGUCUAACCCGUUAGGGAGACAUUGCAUGGUGGGUAGUUUGACUGGGGUGGUCGCCUCCAAAAGCGUAACGGAGGCUUCUCAAGGUACCCUCAAGGCGUUUGGUAAUCGUCUGCAGAGUGCAAUGGCAUAAGGGUGCUUGACUGUGAGACCGACACGUCGAUCAGGUUGGAAACA
RNAcentral lists this ribosomal RNA (1882 nucleotides) under human gut metagenome. Its description in RNAcentral is "bacterial LSU rRNA". It matches the Rfam family "Bacterial large subunit ribosomal RNA", at positions 514 to 2406 of the family's 2925-position model. The record is from RNAcentral.